RNAcentral lists this ribosomal RNA (424 nucleotides) under uncultured cyanobacterium. RNAcentral's name for it is "bacterial SSU rRNA". It matches the Rfam family "Bacterial small subunit ribosomal RNA", at positions 356 to 795 of the family's 1533-position model. Lineage: Bacteria; Bacillati; Cyanobacteriota. The record is from RNAcentral.
GGGGAAUUUUCCGCAAUGGGCGAAAGCCUGACGGAGCAAUGCCGCGUGGAGGUAGAAGGCUCACGGGUCGUAAACUCCUUUUCUCAGAGAAGAUGCGAUGACGGUAUCUGAGGAAUAAGCAUCGGCUAACUCUGUGCCAGCAGCCGCGGUAAGACAGAGGAUGCAAGCGUUAUCCGGAAUGAUUGGGCGUAAAGCGUCCGCAGGUGGCAAUGUAAGUCUGCUGUUAAAGAGUCUAGCUCAACUAGAUACAAGCAGUGGAAACUACAUAGCUAGAGUACGUUCGGGGCAGAGGGAAUUCCUGGUGUAGCGGUGAAAUGCGUAGAGAUCAGGAAGAACACCAGUGGCGAAGGCGCUCUGCUAGGCCGUAACUGACACUGAGGGACGAAAGCUAGGGGAGCGAAUGGGAUUAGAUACCCCAGUAGUC